UGCAUGCUGCCACCUACCAGUGCUAGAUCCUGGCUCCAUUUGCUCUCUCUGGGCUGGACCUGCCUUCUUUGACCUUAUUUCAGAGAAACUUGAGAAUGGAUUUUGCUGUAGCCUUGGUGGACUUCUCCCCCUGAAACCAUGGCCAGGAAUGCUGACUCUUUCUGAAGUAAAGUUUCUGAAGGGUGUUCUUGUGGCUGACAUUCUAAUUUAUGCUUCUGAAGAAGGCAUGUGGGAAUUAAGUGACAUGAUGGAAAGUUUAAGUGUAAUCAACAGCAAGGAUAAAUGUUUGUGAUUUCUGCAUAUUAAUCUGGCUUUGAUUUGAGUUUCUGCAGCAUCUGUGACAAAACCAUAGGUUAUGGAUUUGGAAGCAUAAAUUUUGUUUCUCUGACAACAUAUAUUUUAGAUACUUAAUCGAUAAACUGAUUGAAUUUAAC
This 434-nucleotide long non-coding RNA is filed under the name Phasianus colchicus (ring-necked pheasant). RNAcentral describes it as "lncRNA (ENSPCLG00000004802.1)". Lineage: Eukaryota; Metazoa; Chordata; Aves; Galliformes; Phasianidae. The record is from RNAcentral.